Molecule: non-coding RNA, 428 nt
Organism: Arachis ipaensis
Lineage: Eukaryota; Viridiplantae; Streptophyta; Magnoliopsida; Fabales; Fabaceae
Source: RefSeq, a predicted model, not a curated record
CUUUCCCUUAGGUUUGGUCCAUUUACACGUUCUGUUUUGUCACUGCUACGGUUACCAUGUUCUGGUUUUAAUUUAAUUUUAGUCCUUGCUUUGAAUUUCAGCAUAUUGUUGAUAUUGGCAAAAUUUUGCCAUUGUUUAUGGAGCUUCAAACUUUAGGUGACAGGACGUGAAGAACCAUGCUCUGUAAAGUGUCUUGUUUUCAAUGUUGCAGGUCUCAUUUAAUUUGAGUUAAACCGUUUGGUUACAUUUACAGAAACUAAAAAGGAUGGAUCCUAUAGAUGUUAAGACGGUGCUACUGCUGAUGAGAAAUCUGUCUAUCAAUUUAAGGAGCCCAAAUUUUGAGGAUCAUAGAAGGUUGCUUGCCUCAUAUGAGGUGGAACUCGAAACAAAAAGCUACAUUAAUGCAGAUAGACCUAUGACUGGUGGGC